CAGUAGCCGCGGUAAUACGUAGGUGGCAAGCGUUGUCCGGAAUUAUUGGGCGUAAAGGGCUCGCAGGCGGUUUAUUAAGUCUGAUGUGAAAGCCCCCGGCUCAACCGGGGAGGGUCAUUGGAAACUGGGAAACUUGAGUGCAGAAGAGGAGAGUGGAAUUCCACGUGUAGCGGUGAAAUGCGUAGAGAUGUGGAGGAACACCAGUGGCGAAGGCGACUCUCUGGUCUGUAACUGACGCUGAGGAGCGAAAGCGUGGGGAGCGAACAGGAUUAGAUACCCCUGUAGUCCCUGUCUCUUAUAC
RNAcentral lists this ribosomal RNA (301 nucleotides) under uncultured bacterium. RNAcentral describes it as "partial 16S ribosomal RNA". It matches the Rfam family "Bacterial small subunit ribosomal RNA", at positions 509 to 807 of the family's 1533-position model. The record is from RNAcentral.